RNAcentral lists this ribosomal RNA (253 nucleotides) under uncultured bacterium. RNAcentral's name for it is "partial 16S ribosomal RNA". It matches the Rfam family "Bacterial small subunit ribosomal RNA", at positions 524 to 776 of the family's 1533-position model. The record is from RNAcentral.
UACGUAGGGAGCAAGCGUUGUUCGGAUUUACUGGGCGUAAAGGGCGCGUAGGCGGCGACUCAAGUUAGAUGUGAAAGUCCUGGGCUUAACCUGGGGACUGCAUUUGAUACUGGGUUGCUUGAAUUCGGGAGAGGAUAGCGGAAUUCCCAGUGUAGAGGUGAAAUUCGUAGAUAUUGGGAAGAACACCGGUGGCGAAGGCGGCUAUCUGGACCGACAUUGACGCUGAGGCGCGAAAGCGUGGGGAGCAAACAGG